RNAcentral lists this ribosomal RNA (425 nucleotides) under uncultured bacterium. Its description in RNAcentral is "bacterial SSU rRNA". It matches the Rfam family "Bacterial small subunit ribosomal RNA", at positions 354 to 796 of the family's 1533-position model. The record is from RNAcentral.
GUGGGGAAUAUUGGACAAUGGGCGAAAGCCUGAUCCAGCCAUGCCGCGUGAGUGAUGAAGGCCUUAGGGUUGUAAAGCUCUUUCAGUAGGGAAGAUAAUGACGGUACCUACAGAAGAAGCCCCGGCUAACUUCGUGCCAGCAGCCGCGGUAAUACGAAGGGGGCUAGCGUUGUUCGGAUUUACUGGGCGUAAAGCGCACGUAGGCGGAUUGGUCAGUUAGAGGUGAAAUCCUGGAGCUCAACUCCAGAACUGCCUUUAAUACUGCCAGUCUAGAGUCCAGAAGAGGUGAGUGGAACUCCUAGUGUAGAGGUGGAAUUCGUAGAUAUUAGGAAGAACACCAGUGGCGAAGGCGGCUCACUGGUCUGGUACUGACGCUGAGGUGCGAAAGCGUGGGGAGCAAACAGGAUUAGAAACCCCAGUAGUCC